CUGAAGCUUCGAUCUCCAGCUUUCUUGCUUGUGCUAAAUGUCUCCCUUACCUGUAAAGUUUUUCUGGAUCAUCCACAAAAUUUUUCGGUUUAUCCAUCUCCUGUUAGAGUUAGUGAAAGAAAAAACAUAUAUACAAGAACUAGAAUGAACUUUUCAUUGAGAUUGAACAAAAACAAAAAUAUUAAAAAGAAAAGACUGAAAAACCAUGAAUAAAAAGUUAUAUCUACCGAUGCAUAAUUAAACUAGAACUUGACUAUUAGUUCCCCGACAACGGCACUAGAAAAGCUUGUUGGUGGCAGUUAGCACGCCAGUUUGAACCGCAAGCGCACGGAUCAGUUGUAGCUUUUCCCUCCGAGUACUCCCCCAAGAUUUAUCAAUCUGUGAAACUUUUAUAGCACAAGAUCUAUUUCAACUAGCAUUGUUAGUAUUAACUUGGUGUUUAUGAGAUAUUCAGAUCCAAUCUACUAAGUAUGUAUAGACAGAUAACAGAUAGAGCAGAGGUAACAAUAACCAAUCUAGAGCAAUCUAGAUUAUGCAAUAUGUUGUAAUUCAGAGCAUGGAUAGCAAAGCAACACAUAUAUGAUCUUAGCAAAAAGCAUCUUUAAAUCUAAACCUUCGGUCCAACUCCCGAAACCCCCUAUCUUACACAAGAUCCCGUCACGAUCCCCACUAUCAGCAUACGUAGACUAAGGGCACGAUCAAAAGAAUAUGCUAACUCUUCGGUAGAUCAGGCAUGCAAAUCUGGUCACCACAAUCACAAGAACAUCCUAAGCAAUCUAUCAUCGAUCAUAGAUUGAAAAGCAUGCAAACCAGAUCGCUAAGAAUAAGAACACAUCUAUUACUUCACCAUGAAUGAUUAUACAUCACAAGAUCACCAUCGGGAUCUUACCUUGAUCUUGUUGACUCCUAAAUCUAGAACUGUUGUGUGAUCUUCCUCGCAGGAUGAUCACACUGGCAAGGGUUUAGCUACGCCUACUCCUGACAACUGCAUGACCCUUGGCUCUUCGGAGAGGUGUCCCUCAAGCUCCGUCUGAUUCUCUGUCGCUUCACGUCGAGUACGUCAUCUUGGAUAUGGGGUUUGGUGGAUUUUUCGAGUAUUUAUAGUCCAGAGGGUGUGUAGUAACAAUUGGAAGGCAAGGGGAUGAAGGAAACCCCAGGCCGAUCGGCUUGGGAGGGUCCAGGCCGAUCGGCCUGGGCCUUUUAGCCCCUCACGUCCUGCUUCAUCUCCAAAUCUUGAUGGAUGCUCUGAAGUCUUAUUUUCACUUACAUGUGGG
Molecule: long non-coding RNA, 1274 nt
Filed under: Setaria viridis
Lineage: Eukaryota; Viridiplantae; Streptophyta; Magnoliopsida; Poales; Poaceae
Description: long non-coding RNA (SVIR_LNC003903)
Source: RNAcentral